This is a non-coding RNA of Dipodomys ordii (Ord's kangaroo rat), 70 nucleotides long. The record is from Rfam. Lineage: Eukaryota; Metazoa; Chordata; Mammalia; Rodentia; Heteromyidae.
GGGAAGGUAGCUCAGUGGUAGAGUGCUUGCCUUGCAUGCAUGAGGCCCUGGGUUCGAUUCCCCAGCACCA